GAUCCUGGCUCAGGACGAACGCUGGCGGCGUGCUUAACACAUGCAAGUCGAACGAGAAGAGAUGAGAAGCUUGCUUCUUAUUGAUUCGAGUGGCAAACGGGUGAGUAACGCGUAAGCAACCUGCCCUUCAGAUGGGGACAACAGCUGGAAACGGCUGCUAAUACCGAAUACGUUCUUUUUGUCGCAUGGCAGAGGGAAGAAAGGGAGGCUCUUCGGAGCUUU
RNAcentral lists this ribosomal RNA (222 nucleotides) under uncultured bacterium. RNAcentral describes it as "partial 16S ribosomal RNA". It matches the Rfam family "Bacterial small subunit ribosomal RNA", at positions 15 to 212 of the family's 1533-position model. The record is from RNAcentral.